CCCUUAGAUGUCCGGGGCUGCACGCGCGCUACACUGAAGGAAUCAGCGUGCUAAAACCAUUGUCGAAAGGCAUUGGUAAACCCAUUAAAAUCCUACGUGAUUGGGAUCGGGAAUUGCAAUUAUUUCCCUUGAACGAGGAAUUCCCAGUAAGUGUGGGUCAUAAGCUCGCGUUGAUUACGUCCCUGCCCUUUGUACACACCGCCCGUCGCUGCCCGGGACUGAGCCGUUUCGAGAAAAGCGGGGACUGCUGCUGUCGGGGCUUUCGGGCCUUGGCUUCGGUGGAAACCGCUUUAAUCGCAGUGGCUUGAACCGGGCAAAAGUCGUACCA
This 328-nucleotide ribosomal RNA is filed under the name uncultured eukaryote. RNAcentral describes it as "partial 18S ribosomal RNA". It matches the Rfam family "Eukaryotic small subunit ribosomal RNA", at positions 1470 to 1796 of the family's 1831-position model. The record is from RNAcentral.